UACGUAGGUCCCGAGCGUUGUCCGGAUUUAUUGGGCGUAAAGCGAGCGCAGGUGGUUUAUUAAGUCUGGUGUAAAAGGCAGUGGCUCAACCAUUGUAUGCAUUGGAAACUGGUAGGCUUGAGUGCAGGAGAGGAGAGUGGAAUUCCGUGUGUAGCGGUGAAAUGCGUAGAUAUAUGGAGGAACACCGGUGGCGAAAGCGGCUCUCUGGCCUGUAACUGACACUGAGGCUCGAAAGCGUGGGUAGCAAACAGG
This 252-nucleotide ribosomal RNA is filed under the name uncultured bacterium. RNAcentral's name for it is "partial 16S ribosomal RNA". It matches the Rfam family "Bacterial small subunit ribosomal RNA", at positions 524 to 776 of the family's 1533-position model. The record is from RNAcentral.